Molecule: ribosomal RNA, 483 nt
Filed under: uncultured bacterium
Lineage: Bacteria
Description: partial 16S ribosomal RNA
Rfam family: Bacterial small subunit ribosomal RNA
Source: RNAcentral
UAGGGAAUCUUCCACAAUGGACGCAAGUCUGAUGGAGCAACGCCGCGUGAGUGAAGAAGGUUUUCGGACCGUAAAGCUCUGUUGUUGGUGAAGAAGGAUAGAGGUAGUAACUGGCCUUUAUUUGACGGUAAUCAACCAGAAAGUCACGGCUAACUACGUGCCAGCAGCCGCGGUAAUACGUAGGUGGCAAGCGUUGUCCGGAUUUAUUGGGCGUAAAGCGAGCGCAGGCGGAAGAAUAAGUCUGAUGUGAAAGCCCUCGGCUUAACCGAGGAAUUGCAUCGGAAACUGUUUUCUUGAGUGCAGAAGAGGAGAGUAGAACUCCAUGUGUAGCGGUGGAAUGCGUAGAUAUAUGGAAGAAUACCAGUGGCGAAGGCGGCUCUCUGGUCUGCAACUGACGCUGAGGCUCGAAAGCAUGGGUAGCGAACAGGAUUAGAUACCCUGGUAGUCCAUGCCGUAAAACGAUGAGUGCUAAGUGUUGGGGAG